UGGGGUGUAGUUUAGUGGUAGUACACAUGCUUAGCAUGGGUGAGGCCCUGGGUUCAAUCCCCAGUACCACAC
RNAcentral lists this transfer RNA (72 nucleotides) under Cavia porcellus (domestic guinea pig). It matches the Rfam family "tRNA". Rfam says of the family: Transfer RNA (tRNA) molecules are approximately 80 nucleotides in length. Their secondary structure includes four short double-helical elements and three loops (D, anti-codon, and T loops). Lineage: Eukaryota; Metazoa; Chordata; Mammalia; Rodentia; Caviidae. The record is from Rfam by way of RNAcentral.